UUUUUUUUUUUUUUUUUUUUUUUGCCUCUUUUAGGACUUGGUAGGGCUUGUGCAAGGCGGCUCUGUAUGGUUGUAUGGGUUGUGCACUCCACAUGAGUGCCUGGACGAAGCGGGUAAUAAGAGCUGGAUGUGAACUGUGCUCCAGUUACCAAGCUGUGCACCCAGGGGGGUGCCUUUUCCUAACCCACACAAGGUGCUUUAUGAGCAGGGACAGAGCCUCUUUCUCUGAGAACUACCAGCAUCUGCAAUCUGGGUGUUUUCUCUGCAGUUCUCUUCUUUAUGACAGUUUCAGAAAAUGAUUCUCCAGCCUGGAAAGCAGAAAACUCUCAUGAUUUCCUCCAAGUAUUUUCUCCUUUCUGUGUAUUCCUUCUGGUUCUCUCUGAGUCUAAGCUUUCGACACUGCAAAUCCAGGCAAGAGACAUGGGUUUUUUGUUCUCAGCUGUCACAUCCUUCCCUGAGGCUUAGGGAAAGAAAUACUUUGCUGUCUAAAGAAGAGGUGAGAGCAAAAGGAAUAAGGGCAAUCCUGGGGGAAGAAUAGAGGUUAACAUUUAAAAAAUAUCCUAGCGGGGUGGUGGCUCAUGCCUGUAAUCCCAGCACUUUGGGAGGCCGAGGCGGGUGGAUCACCUAAAGUCAGGAGUUCGAGACCAGCCUGACCAACAUGGUGAAACCCCGUCUCUACUAACAUACAAAAUUAGCUGGGCACAGUGGCACAUGCCUGUAAUCCCAGCUACUCGGGAGGCUGAGACAGGAGAAUUGCUUGAACCUGGAAGGCAGGGGUUGCAGUGACCUGAGAUUGCGCCAUUGCACUCCAGCCUGGGGACAAAGCAAGACUCAAUCUCAAAAAAAAAAAAAAAAAAAAAAAGGGAAACUCUGUCUCAAAAAAAUAAAUAAAUAAAAAUAUCCUACCGCUGUGACAUGUAUUC
This 923-nucleotide long non-coding RNA is filed under the name Homo sapiens (human). Its description in RNAcentral is "novel transcript, sense intronic to ANKRD54and MYH9". The record is from RNAcentral. Lineage: Eukaryota; Metazoa; Chordata; Mammalia; Primates; Hominidae.